Molecule: ribosomal RNA, 468 nt
Filed under: uncultured bacterium
Lineage: Bacteria
Description: partial 16S ribosomal RNA
Rfam family: Bacterial small subunit ribosomal RNA
Source: RNAcentral
GACGAACGCUGGCGGCGUGCUUAACACAUGCAAGUCGAACGGAAAGGCCCUGCUUUUGUGGGGUGCUCGAGUGGCGAACGGGUGAGUAACACGUGAGUAACCUGCCCUUGACUUUGGGAUAACUUCAGGAAACUGGGGCUAAUACCGGAUAGGAGCUCCUGCUGCACGGUGGGGGUUGGAAAGUUUCGGCGGUUGGGGAUGGACUCGCGGCUUAUCAGCUUGUUGGUGGGGUAGUGGCUUACCAAGGCUUUGACGGGUAGCCGGCCUGAGAGGGUGACCGGCCACAUUGGGACUGAGAGACGGCCCAGACGCCAACGGGAGGCAGCAGGGGGGAAUAUUGCACAAUGGGCGGAAGCCUGAUGCAGCAACGCCGCGUGCGGGAUGACGGCCUUCGGGUUGUAAACCGCUUUCGCCUGUGACGAAGCGUGAGUGACGGUAAUGGGUAAAGAAGCACCGGCUAACUACGUG